CUACGGGACGCUGCAGUAACGAAUAUUGGACAAUGAGCGAAAGCUUGAUCCAGCAAUACCGCGUGCAGGAAGAAGCCCUUCGGGGUGUAAACUGCUGUCAGGGACCACCAAGCAAUGAGUGUUAAUACCAUUCUGCGUUGAGGAAUCCCAGAGGAAGCCACGGCUAACUUCUUGCCAGCAGCCGCGGUAAGACGAAGGUGGCGAGCGUUGUUCGGAAUCACUGGGCUUAAAGAGCUCGUAGGCGGAUUGUCAAGCGUCUUGUGAAAGCCCUCGGCUCAACCGAGGAAUAGCUUGGCGAACUGGCAAUCUUGAGACAUGUAGGGGCAACCGGAACUCAUGGUGGAGCGGUGGAAUGCGUAGAUAUCAUGAGGAACGCCAGAGGCGAAGGCGGGUUGCUGGGCAUGUUCUGACGCUGAGGAGCGAAAGCGUGGGUAGCGAACGGGAUUAGAUACCCGGGUAGUC
Molecule: ribosomal RNA, 462 nt
Filed under: uncultured bacterium
Lineage: Bacteria
Description: partial 16S ribosomal RNA
Rfam family: Bacterial small subunit ribosomal RNA
Source: RNAcentral